This 114-nucleotide ribosomal RNA is filed under the name Octodon degus (degu). Lineage: Eukaryota; Metazoa; Chordata; Mammalia; Rodentia; Octodontidae. The record is from RNAcentral.
GACUAGAGCCAUACCACCCUGAAAACACCCAUCUCAUCUGAUCUCAGGAGCUAAGCAGGAUUAAACUUCACACAAAAAGAAAAUCCAGGGGCUGGUGAGAUGGCUCAGUGGUCU